GGCACCGCCUACUUCACAGCGGGCGGCGGUUAGUGCGCGGGGCCGGCUGCCGGCGCGGGACCGAGGCGGGCGGGAAGGCGCUUCGCUGGAGGCUGGCACGGUUUCCUAGAUCUAAAAGAAAGGCUGAGUUAGAGUACCCUUCCAAAAUGGCUGCUCUUAAGGAAGAGAGAGAUGUGGAAGACUACAAGAGGAAAGGAAGACGAUCCUCACAGCAGAAAUACCGUAGACUGAAUAAGGGCCAUGAGCCAAAGGAGCCGGAGCAGUUGAGAAAGCUGUUCAUUGGAGGUCUGAGCUUUGAAACAACAGAUGAUAGCUUGAGAGAGCACUUUGAAAAAUGGGGCACACUUACAGACUGUGUGGUGAUGAGAGACCCACAAACAAAACGUUCCAGAGGUUUCGGCUUUGUGACUUACUCUUGUGUGGAGGAGGUGGAUGCUGCCAUGAGUGCUCGACCUCAUAAGGUUGAUGGACGAGUGGUUGAACCAAAGAGAGCAGUUUCAAGGGAGGAUUCUGUAAAGCCUGGGGCGCAUCUCACAGUAAAGAAAAUAUUUGUUGGUGGAAUUAAAGAAGAUACCGAAGAAUAUAACUUAAGGGAGUACUUUGAAAAAUAUGGCAAAAUUGAAACCAUAGAAGUCAUGGAAGACAGACAAAGCGGAAAGAAAAGAGGCUUCGCUUUUGUAACUUUUGAUGAUCAUGAUACCGUUGAUAAAAUUGUUGUUCAGAAAUAUCAUACUAUAAAUGGACAUAACUGUGAAGUGAAAAAAGCACUCUCAAAACAAGAGAUGCAGACUGCUAGCUCUCAGAGAGUAAAAUAUUUUGUAGGUCGUGGGGGUGGCUCAGGCAACUUCAUGGGUCGUGGAAACUUCGGAGGCGGUGGAGGGAACUUUGGCCGAGGAGGAAACUUUGGUGGAAGAGGAAAAUAUUCUCAUCUGUUUUGUGUUCCAGGAGGCUAUGGGGGUGGUGGUGGCGGUGGUGGGAGCAGAGGAAGCUUUGGGGGUGGUGACGGAUACAAUGGAUUUGGUGAUGGUGGCAACUAUGGAGGUGGUCCUGGCUAUGGCAGCAGAGGAGGUUAUGGUGGUGGUGGAGGACCAGGAUAUGGAAACCCAGGUGGUGGAUAUGGAGGUGGAGGAGGAGGAUAUGAUGGCUACAAUGAAGGUGGAAAUUUUGGUGGUGGUAAUUAUGGUGGAAGUGGAAACUAUAAUGAUUUUGGCAAUUACAGUGGACAACAGCAGUCUAACUAUGGUCCCAUGAAAGGUGGUGGCAGCUUUGGUGGCAGAAGUUCAGGCAGUCCCUAUGGUGGUGGUUAUGGAUCUGGAAGUGGAAGUGGGGGCUAUGGUGGUAGAAGAUUCUAAAAAUGCUACCAGAAAAAGGGUUGAAUGAGAAGCUGCUGCUUGACAAAAUGGGGAAUGUCUUGCACAUCCUCUUCAGUUGAAGGUUUCUGACUGGCGCUGUGAGGAACACAAAGUGGUCUUUAAUUAUUGCAACACAUUGUGAGUUACAGGAUCAUCUUUUCACCGUGGGACUGCAAGUCAGAAACCCUUGGUUCAGCCCAGCUCCUCCACUUCACUUUUAAUAGCUUGAAAACUGAAUGUUUUGAUCAAGAAAUAAAUGGUCUCCAUGUGGAGCCUUGUCAGUGCAUGAGGUCAGCAUUGUGAUGCAUCAGACUUGGCAAUGUCACUAGUCACUCUCAGGCUUGGGAACAUACUCUGUACCUCAGUAACAAUAAUAAAAUGAAGGAUAGAGUGUUUGAUCUGAUGUUUUCACACAUACAAACUAACGCAAUGUGGAGUGUGUUUUUUCCCUUAGCGAUGUUGGGCGUUUGGAUGCGAGUACAACAUUCACUGUCUUCGUGGUGUGAAAAAUACUGGUUUAAACUGAAUGUGUGUUGUCAUGGUCCAAGUUACUGCAGCCUGAUUCUUUGCCUGCUGGAAUUUGAGGCUUCUGCAUUAACUGCAGGCAGCUUGUUGUUGCUCUUUUUCAUCUUUGCAAUGGAAUAAGUAUCCCUGUGUUAGGUUUUAGACCUGGGGGUAGUACAAAUACAACAGCCCCUGCAAAGGCUGUAUGAAUGCUGUUUGCCUUCAGCUGUUUAUAUAGCCCAUGUGUAAUUAAGCAUUAAUAUUACAGUUAGAACGUUUUUCUCUGUAAGCCUGACAUUUGAUAGCCUAGUUAGGGGUAGGGGGGAACCCAGGAGCUCUUCCUCUUCAGGUUCUCUGUGCUUUGCCAUCAGACCUGCCAGUGUAUUAGAGCUACUGUGUGCUGGUUUUGAAAGACUGUCCAGGGCCGUCGCUCAGUGUGCUUCCUCCUUAAUGCUGCUUUUGCUCUGAAAUUGCCAUCCUUAAAUAUAGAUUAGAUCCCCUUGCUGUAAAUGGCAGCAGUCUCUCACAUUCCCCCAGUGGUCACCUGGGCUUGGCAGUGGUGAGGGGUGUUUUCCCUCCUUGGUAGUACUGGUGGCAAAGUCAACAGGGGCACAUUUGAACAGCAGCAGCAAGAAAAUACCCCUCCCUGCUGCAGUAUCUUUGAUUUAGUUUAGCUGGCUGCUCAUUGGCUGGAGCAAAUACACCUGCUUCGCCCAGCAAACCCAGCCUCUAGGUUUUUAACUGUUGGUAUUGACCAUUUGCUCCAAUAAGAGGAGUGUUCUUGCGCUUGGAGUAUGUCACAGACUCUGCAGUGGGAUGGGCUGACAUGCCCUUAGCGAGGAAGAAGGUCAGUAUAAACAAGGUAAGCGGCCUCAAAGGGUGAGUUGGGUCACCUGGAUUUACAUUUCCCAAGGUCUUCUGCAAAAACACAAAUGUUACUAUCUGAUGUAACGGGCAGGGUUCCUAGCACUUCCGGGGAUGUUGGAAAACUCUUUUUUCCCCUAACUUUGCUGUAUCCGCUGCCUCAGAUACUUGCUGUGAGUCCUACCCUACAAAAUGUAACACAGUACGAGGAGUUGUGUAUGAAGCUGUUACUUUUCCAGGGUUGGAACAUCUCAUAGGCCCAGGUUUACGUACCAAAGACUUUCUUCUGGUACUGGCACUUGGCCAUUACACUUGCCUUUUAAAGAGGAUAUUGUCUACAGGAUCACGGUUCCUGGCAUUGCAGUGCCCUGGAGCACAACUACCUUCCUGGUGAAACUGUUACCUCUCUGCUUUCCUGCCUCUGCUCUUCUCUGGUUAGCUAUGGGUGCGCUGCAGAUGGGGAAGGCAGAGAAAGAGUUUGUACCAGGUACUAGAGAGGCCUCUGCUAUUCAGAAUCAGUAAAUGAGCUAACAGGAAGAUGAAUGACAUGGAUUAGAAAUAAAAAAUUAUUUGUGAAGAGUUGUGCCCAGCUGGACAAUAAAAUGGUGUCUGAAAUUGUGUGCAUACAGGGAAAAGCAAAACCGGUACCUACAUAAUUGUAGGCUCCAAGGUAGUUAAUGCUAUUCAGGUGAGAGGGCUCAGCGUCACUGGGGUGUUGUAUGGAAGCAGCAAACAGAACAGUCAAAUGCAGAAGCCCUUCCACAGCAUCCUGUGACACAAUAAUAGUCACCAGAACUAUGGCUUUCCCUACUGCCUCAGCACUGGGGUUUGUUGGUUUUUUUUUUUUUAAGGACACUAAGAAGAUCCAUAAAAAGUGAUACAGUACAGAAGUGGGGUUAUGAUAAUCUAACAUUGUUCCUUUGGUUUUCAUGGCCAGUUACAACAGGAAAUGGUUUCUGCUGGAUAUGCAACUCCAGCACAGCUAAAACAUUUGGGAAAUAAAAACCUCAAGACUGCAUUCACCAACAACUGUAUCAUUUUAUUUAGCAUUCCUCUGACUUUGUGAGUAUUGAGCUAAUGGAAGGCUGGUUUCCUAAUCUGAUGCCCCUCUUUAUAGGAAAAGGGUUUAACUUUAUUAAAUGUCUACCCUUUUUCAGUAACUCCAAUUCCUUCUUUAAAGAAAACCAACCAUACCAUAAGGUCUUGCAAAACAAUGGUGUUUAUUAUACUAUAUGAAAUGAUGCAUAAUAUGGUAAUAGACCAAAUAUUCCUAAAAUGACAUAGAAAAAUCAGUGGCAGAAAAACACAUUUCAGAUUACAAAUGCCUUUUAGAAGUUUCAUAGGGAAAAUGAAGGAAUAAGAUAUGUUUUUAAUGCAUAUUUCAAAUUACACAUUUUCCAUAUUCAAAAAAUCCACACUGAUCAAGUACACUGAGUCCAGUUGAAAAGUAAACAAAGCAAUGCUAUAUAUUGCCCAAUUUUUAUUCUCUUAUAAAUCACAGUGCUUUUCAGUUAAUUGAGCACAGGUUCCAAACUGUGCAGUUGGUGGGCAGUCGGUAUGCCUUCCUCCGUAAGCUCCAAAAUAAUAGCAGUGACAAACGAUGGUCACUGAUCAGAGGCGGAGACACAGGGUGUGUUUCUAGACCAAUUACUCAAAAGUGUACAGAAUUUUUAGUUGGAAAAUGCAUAAUGCUGACAGUGUUGAAUUAAGAGAUUUUACAUGCCUUUGGAGGAAAGACCUCAUCAUAAAUUUAAGUAGUGUUCAAAGAGCAAAACAAAAAUUAUGUAAACUUAGCAUAGACUCGAACCUUCACUUUGUGUUACACAGUCCUUCCAAACAGCAGUUAACAUCACACUGAACAGACGUUAGUAACACUGCCAAUGCUGCGUGAUAUAUGCUUAAAUACCCAGGAUGUUUGUUACAUGAACACUUAAAAUGUUAAUGAACUGAUAAAUCAAAAUCAAACAUUAAGUAUCAACCUUCAUACUAAAUUAAAAUAUCUUAAAUAUGAAGCAAGUAUAAAUGGGUAAGAAAUGGGAAACAAACACUACUGCAUAUUUAUAAAAAAAUCAGAAGCCAUACUGUUCGUCUUGCAAGAAAUAUUUCAAAGGCUAAAAUCAUUUUUAUAUAUAUCAAAUCUAUGAAUAUAACAAGAGAUAGGAACAGUAUAUAAAUAUGGUAUCUUUAAAUAUUUA
Phalacrocorax carbo (great cormorant) is the source of this 4915-nucleotide non-coding RNA. The record is from RefSeq and is a predicted model, not a curated record. Lineage: Eukaryota; Metazoa; Chordata; Aves; Suliformes; Phalacrocoracidae.